Long non-coding RNA from Coturnix japonica (Japanese quail), 2392 nucleotides. RefSeq lists it as uncharacterized. The record is from RefSeq and is a predicted model, not a curated record. NCBI's taxonomy places the organism in Eukaryota, Metazoa, Chordata, Aves, Galliformes, Phasianidae.
UUGGGCGGGCUGGGCUUCGUACACUGCUGCACUAGGAAGUUGAAAUAAACAUUUAUCCCAGUCUUAUUCUUAAUAAAUUUAAGCUAACUUUAAUUGAGCUAUUAUUUUUUUUAAUUUUUUAAAUUAUUUUUACCAGCAAAUGAAAGAGAGAAAUGGAAAAAAAAAAAAGAAUAAGGAGUGCAUCAAAUUUUUUGUGCCGAUCUGCAGCACCAGGGGAUGCGACGCCUGAAGCAAAGAAGUGAGGAGCAGCUCCAUGUCGAGAGUGCUGUCAUCGACAGAUGAUGGAAGGUGAGGGAUAUUUGUCACAGAAACAUCAUUUCUUUGGUACACACCAAAAGAAAAUGGCUAAGAACUGUGUAACGAAGUAAAGGCAGUAUUCAGACUGUCUACAAGAACUGCUCAGCUUGAGUGCUGCCAUGUUUCCAGGCAGCCCCUGGCCCAGCAGGAUAAUUCAGAGCACCUGAGGUAGAUAUCUCAAUUCCUAACACGGUUGGUAUGAAAAUGUGGUCACCUCUGAAAUCAUUCAAAGCAGCUGGGACCUUAUCUCUCUCCACUGCCUGAGAAGGUCACUGAAACUCCCACCCACCAAUCACCUGGGAAACCUCUCAGUUUAGAUCUGAACAAGUGCUGAACCUCAGUCACCUUCAUCCACUUGAAAUCCAGAGCACUGAGUCCUCUCUUGAGAACAAGCAGCUAAUGAUGGAGGAGGAAGAGGCAGCAGCCACUUCAGAAUAACUUCAUUGUUUGAACACUCUUACAAGAAGUGGGAAACAUGGAUUUUAAGCCUUUCUCAGACUGAAGGGGUUUGAACCGCAAUUCCCUUUUCCUCAGAGCUUAUCCUAUCCAUCGAGCUAGAGAAGUUCUUCAUUCUACUCACUAUGCGAGGCCACAGAGCAGAGAGAGAAUAGGUAAGAGGGAGCUUGAUUUUGCAGCCUAUUGUUGAGGGCAACCAUGAGAGAGUCCUGAGGCUUGGUCCCAGCUGUCACUGCUAUUUAAGCAUUCUUUACCGUUAAUUUUUAAUACAGGCACUCAAGCAGUCAAGCAACCAUGGCUGGCAAACUGUAUGGGUUGUGCUGUUUAAAUUCUGCCUGAAUUUGUACUAAGCACUAAAAACAUGUGAGCCGCCUACUGCCCUAAUCCCUGAACUUCUCGCACCCCAUGAUAAGCGCCUGAGACUGUAGCAGCGGAGUUGUCUAAUUAAGAAUAGAGCUGUUCAAGGUCCUCAGCAAAGAUAGCUGAAAGAGAAAGGAAACUCCAGAGGAGCAAUGAGUCUGUGCAUCAUCUGAAUCACAUUCUGGAAGCACCUGCUCUUCUAUAUUGAUUGCAAACAGAGACUAUGAUGUCAGCAUUCCUCAAAUAAGACUCUCAGGAAAAUUCAAUAUGCUCAAACCAUAUUUUGGGAUAUAAUUUCUUUCACCAGUCCAUUUGCUGUUAUUGUUGUUAUUUUCCUCUCCAUCUCUGAAUGGUGGAGGAAGAUACAGUGGAAUUGUCUAGGCACCACCUAAGUGCAAAAAAAUGCAAUUGAGCAACAGUUCUUCAUGGAAGGAUUUUAACCUUCUCUUUGUUCCAGGGAAGUAAUCCAUAGCAAAAUCCUCACUCCUUCAUGUAGUCAGCACACCAGGAAAGGAUACUAUCAGAUAAUGCUUCAUAGGCAGGCCUGACAUGCAAAGUCAAUCAGUCCAUCUACCUACUUUUUAUAGCAAGAAAUAUGUCUGCUCAGUGAAGCCAUCUGACAAUUUCAAAAUGUAAACUGCAUUCAUCAUGCUCUCAUUUAUUUUAUUUUACCCUAGAACAUUUUCGUAAUUUGAAACAGUGGUUCUCUUAUGAGCAAGAAGUUAUAGAAGGAUAGCAACAAGGUGCAGUACUGAUGGACUGCCUGUGUAGUUACAUAAUGCUGAGAUCUGUAGAGAUCCCUUUUGAGGUAUAUCUAUAUUGGGAUGCCUGUAUUGCAGAUGGGAAUAAUUCUGGGAUUGUGAGAUCUUUUUGCCCCAGACACUACGUCUUGCUAUUUGCUUCCAAAAUCACUUAUCAUUAUUAUUAUUAUUUUAUUAUUAUUAUUAUUAAUAAUAAUAAUAAUAUUUUCUGGGGCCUCAUGCCAUUAUUGUGUAAGUAGUGCUAGCAAAAUCAAAAUUAGGAUGCUAUAGAUCCUUUGGGGUUUCUUUUGGUUGUUUGGUUUGGGUUUCUUUUUGUUUGUUUUUUUUUUUUGUUUUUGUUUUUGUUUUUGAGAUGCGCCCUUUUGGACAUCUGAGUGGAGGAACAGCACUUUGUAAUCCACAAUAUAUAAAACAGACACUUGAAAUAUUAUAGUUGUCCUCCGUCCUCACCAGUGGUAAUUGGCCUGUCCUUCCAGUUAUGCUGUUGAAACAAACUGAAUAAAGACUGUAUAACUUGA